This 65-nucleotide transfer RNA is filed under the name Camelus bactrianus (Bactrian camel). It matches the Rfam family "tRNA". From Rfam's summary of the family: Transfer RNA (tRNA) molecules are approximately 80 nucleotides in length. Their secondary structure includes four short double-helical elements and three loops (D, anti-codon, and T loops). Further hydrogen bonds mediate the characteristic L-shaped molecular structure. tRNAs have two regions of fundamental functional importance: the anti-codon, which is responsible for specific mRNA codon recognition, and the 3' end, to which the tRNAs corresponding amino acid is attached (by aminoacyl-tRNA synthetases). tRNAs cope with the degeneracy of the genetic code in two manners: having more than one tRNA (with a specific anti-codon) for a particular amino acid; and 'wobble' base-pairing, i.e. permitting non-standard base-pairing at the 3rd anti-codon position. Lineage: Eukaryota; Metazoa; Chordata; Mammalia; Artiodactyla; Camelidae. The record is from Rfam by way of RNAcentral. RNAcentral also lists the same sequence under 2 other names.
GGUGUAGCUCAGUGGUAGAGCCCAUGCUUAGCAUGCAUGAGGUCCUAGGUUCAAUCCUCAGUACC